This 218-nucleotide long non-coding RNA is filed under the name Cyanistes caeruleus (blue tit). RNAcentral describes it as "lncRNA (ENSCCEG00000015704.1)". The record is from RNAcentral. Lineage: Eukaryota; Metazoa; Chordata; Aves; Passeriformes; Paridae.
GAAAUUCAUUAUGUCUGGGAGAAAGUAAGAUUUCUAUCCACUGUAUGAAAUGUGUUUUCCUAUGAAUUUUCAAAAGUAUCAUCUCACGAGCCUACCACAAAGAGGUGCUCUAAACCCACAGUAGCUGUUGAGAACAGCUCUACCAAGAACAGACAGAACUGCUGCAAGCUCACCUCAAGCCUCUGCAAGAAGUGUAUGGCUUUGACCGAUUCAAUCAA